Molecule: ribosomal RNA, 254 nt
Filed under: uncultured Acidobacteriota bacterium
Lineage: Bacteria; Pseudomonadati; Acidobacteriota
Description: uncultured Acidobacteria bacterium partial 16S ribosomal RNA
Rfam family: Bacterial small subunit ribosomal RNA
Source: RNAcentral
UACGUAGGGAGCAAGCGUUGUUCGGAUUUACUGGGCGUAAAGGGCGCGUAGGCGGCAAUUCAAGUCAUCUGUGAAAUCUCCGGGCUUAACUCGGAACGGUCAGAUGAUACUGCUUUGCUAGAGUGCAGAAGGGGCAAUCGGAAUUCUCGGUGUAGCGGUGAAAUGCGUAGAUAUCGAGAGGAACACCAGAGGUGAAGACGGGUUGCUGGGCUGACACUGACGCUGACAGCGCGAAAGCCAGGGGAGCAAACGGG